This 290-nucleotide ribosomal RNA is filed under the name uncultured bacterium. Its description in RNAcentral is "partial 16S ribosomal RNA". It matches the Rfam family "Bacterial small subunit ribosomal RNA", at positions 29 to 334 of the family's 1533-position model. The record is from RNAcentral.
AACGAACGCUGGCGGCAGGCCUAACACAUGCAAGUCGAACGUGAAGCAGGAGCUUGCUCCUGUGGAAAGUGGCAGACGGGUGAGUAACGCGUGGGAAUUUACCCAGCUCUACGGAAUAACGCAGGGAAACUUGUGCUAAUACCGUAUACGCCCUUCGGGGGAAAGAUUUAUCGGAGUUGGAUGAGCCCGCGUUAGAUUAGUUUGUUGGUGGGGUAAUGGCCUACCAAGACUACGAUCUAUAGCUGGUCUGAGAGGAUGAUCAGCCACACUGGGACUGAGACACGGCCCAG